RNAcentral lists this ribosomal RNA (253 nucleotides) under uncultured bacterium. RNAcentral's name for it is "partial 16S ribosomal RNA". It matches the Rfam family "Bacterial small subunit ribosomal RNA", at positions 524 to 776 of the family's 1533-position model. The record is from RNAcentral.
UACGGGGGGGGUAAGCGUUGUUCGGAAUUACUGGGCGUAAAGGGCUCGUAGGCGGCCAACUAAGUCAGACGUGAAAUCCCCAGGCUCAACCUGGGAACUGCGUCUGAUACUGGAUGGCUUGAAUCCGGGAGAGGGAUGCAGAAUUCCAGGUGUAGCGGUGAAAUGCGUAGAUAUCUGGAGGAAUACCGGUGGCGAAGGCGGCAUCCUGGACCGGCAUUGACGCUGAGGCGCGAAAGCGUGGGGAGCGAACAGG